CUCCUACGGGAGGUAGCAGUGGGGAAUCUUGCGCAAUGGGCGAAAGCCUGACGCAGCAACGCCGCGUGAGGGAUGAAGGUCUUCGGGUUGUAAACCUCUUUCAAGCAGGGACGAUAAUGACGGUACCUGCAGAAGAAGCUCCGGCCAACUACGUGUCAGCAGCCGCGGUAAUUC
Molecule: ribosomal RNA, 174 nt
Filed under: uncultured bacterium
Lineage: Bacteria
Description: partial 16S ribosomal RNA
Rfam family: Bacterial small subunit ribosomal RNA
Source: RNAcentral